This 105-nucleotide ribosomal RNA is filed under the name Petromyzon marinus (sea lamprey). The record is from RNAcentral. Lineage: Eukaryota; Metazoa; Chordata; Hyperoartia; Petromyzontiformes; Petromyzontidae.
CCCGCCCACCACUCGAUCUUUGAAAGAUCUCGGAGCUAAGCAGAUUUGAGCCUGAAUAGUGCUUGGAUGGGAGACCACCAUAAAUACAACAGGGUGUCGGAGGCU